RNAcentral lists this long non-coding RNA (367 nucleotides) under Lathyrus oleraceus (garden pea). RNAcentral's name for it is "Pisum sativum (pea) long non-coding RNA (PSAT_LNC023743)". The record is from RNAcentral. Lineage: Eukaryota; Viridiplantae; Streptophyta; Magnoliopsida; Fabales; Fabaceae.
UUUUAACUCCGAGAUUGCAACACAAUAAAAAUAAAAUAAAAUAAAAUAACAAAAACAACCAAAUAUAUUGUUAAUAUUAGAACAAUAUUAUAAUUUUUUUUAUAUCAACUAAAAAUAAUUGAAAUAAUGAAGAAAGAAAAAAAAACACUACACACUAACGCUAUCCCGAAUGAAUCCACAUAUAACUCACAAACAUCAAAAAUAUACAUAAGUUUAUAACAGAAAAGUAAAAUAAAAUAUAUAAAACUAUUGAACAGAUAGUAUAUACAUAUAUGCAUAAAACUUGACCGAAAAUUAUAAAACUUUGGAUAAAAAGUAAAAUAUUAUAUAUAAACUUAUGAAAUAACAGUAUAUACUUAUAAAUUUU